This 244-nucleotide ribosomal RNA is filed under the name Gomphales sp. RNAcentral describes it as "partial large subunit ribosomal RNA". The record is from RNAcentral. Lineage: Eukaryota; Fungi; Basidiomycota; Agaricomycetes; Gomphales.
AAACGCUUGAAGUCAGUCGCGUCUUGUCGGACUCAGCCUGGCCUUGGCCACGGUGUAUUUCCGGCCUGACGGGCCAGCAUCGAUUUCGACCGCCGGAGAAGGGCUGGGGAAAUGUGGCACCUCCGGGUGUGUUAUAGUCCCCAGUCGCACACGGUGGUUGGGAUUGAGGAACUCAGCGCGCCUUUUUGGCCGGGGCUUCGCCCACGUAACGCGCUCAGGAUGCUGGCGUAAUGGCUUUAAGCGA